Molecule: long non-coding RNA, 1120 nt
Filed under: Ursus maritimus (polar bear)
Lineage: Eukaryota; Metazoa; Chordata; Mammalia; Carnivora; Ursidae
Description: lncRNA (ENSUMAG00000013849.1)
Source: RNAcentral
CCAGCCUCCGGGCCCCUCCUCCAGAGGCAGGCUCUUCUCUCUCCCCUCCCCCGCCGUCUCCACAGCCACCAGGCCACCAGGGACAGCAGCCAAGCAGAGCCGACACCAGUGGUCCCCACGCGGUGCUGCACAAACGGCUCCCCGAGGCCGGCAGCACCCGGGCUCUCGGAAGCCACGGCUCCUCGCAUCAGGCCUCAGGGAGGCUCGGGGACGUUCUGGGCGAGGCCGUCAAGCCCGGCCUCCAGGCGUCAGGAGCCACAGCGCCCUGAGCUCCGUGAUCACGGCCCACAGCUGCCGGUGCGUCGCGGCACAUGGAGCCCUGCAGCCGCGCAGGAGGAGGAGGGCGGGAAGGAGGAGGCAGGUCGCCGUAGAGGUACGGCCACGGAGGAAGGCUGUCCCACCAACACAACACAGUGUUCCAACGCUGCGAACGCGAGGGAGACAGACACGCGUAGAUAAAGGCACAGCUACGGAGGGAAUUUUCGGUGGAUCCUUUGAAGUUCAGCCAGAGCACAACCCCUGCCCACAUCUAGGGCUGCCCUUCGCCAGGCUGGGCCCGUGGGCACCGGCCAGGCCUGCCCGGCGGGAGCCACAAGGCGACCGGCACCCCGAAACGUGCUCGACGAAGCGGGGGUCCCGCUGGAAUUCCUCCCUCACUGGGAGUCGGUGGGGAAGUCAGGUGAAAAUACCCACCAUUCGUUCAUCAUCAGUUUACCCUGUUCAGUUGAGCAGGAGAAGAGGGACCUGCCACGGCAGGUGUUUGUCGACGACGGGGUGUGAGGCUCCCCCCGGACUAGGGGCAGCUUUGUCCUGAGGCCGAGGCCCCAGGUCUUCUCCUCCACGCAGCGCCCUCUCACAGCCCCGGAGAAGCGGGGGCGUCUUCAGUUUCUCUCAAACCGUGAGCAAAGCUCGUUUGGGGCACUUUGCAGAUACAUGCUGACAACCAUGUGCUAAAUAACCUUAAUUAAAAUUAAACACUGUGUCUGAGUCAGUACAGGUACACAGACACAGAGUCUUAGAAAGACAGACACGCUCCAGCCGCUGCGCAGGGUCCGUGGUGGGGGACUCCGCGGUCGGAGCGCGGCCACGUCUCCACGGCUAGUCACCACGUCCCUUACAG